CCUGGCUUAGGAUGAACGCUAGCGACAGGCCUAACACAUGCAAGUCGAGGGGCAGCACAAGGAGCAAUCUGAGGUGGCGACCGGCGCACGGGUGAGUAACACGUAUGCAACCUGCCUGUAAGCGGGGAAUAACCCGUUGAAAGACGGACUAAUACCGCAUAAUACUAAAUUACUGCAUGGUAAUUUAUUUAAACAUUUAUGGCUUACAGAUGGGCAUGCGCAUGAUUAGCUAGUUGGAGAGGUAACGGCUCCCCAAGGCAACGAUCAUUAGGGGUUCUGAGAGGAAGGUCCCCCCACACUGGUACUGAGACACGGACCAGACUCCUACGGGAGGCAGCAGUGAGGAAUAUUGGUCAAUGGACGAGAGUCUGAACCAGCCAAGUCGCGUGCAGGAAGAAUUGUCCUAUGGAUUGUAAACUGCUUUUGCAGGGGAAUAAAGUGCAUCACGUGUGAUGUUUUGUAUGUACUCUGCGAAUAAGGAUCGGCUAACUCCGUGCCAGCCGCCGC
Molecule: ribosomal RNA, 507 nt
Filed under: uncultured bacterium
Lineage: Bacteria
Description: bacterial SSU rRNA
Rfam family: Bacterial small subunit ribosomal RNA
Source: RNAcentral